GCAGAUAAUUAAGACUGCCCAGUCUAGAAUAGCUCGUUGCUAGAAUACCUGCAUUACAGAAACCAGCUAAUGGUACGUGAUUUCCAGGACAUGGCUAACGUGGUGACCAUGACAUGCCUGACCACCAAACCCUUCAUAGACUCCAUAGACUUCAAUAUCCGGAUCCAGAAAAUUGUAAAGAACUACAAAGCCUACAUGAAAACAUCUUUUUCUGGGACCUGGAAAGCAAAGACUGGCUCUGCAAUCUGGAACAGAUCGCCAUGCCAGACAG
Long non-coding RNA from Xenopus laevis (African clawed frog), 271 nucleotides. RefSeq lists it as uncharacterized. Lineage: Eukaryota; Metazoa; Chordata; Amphibia; Anura; Pipidae. The transcript has 3 exons. The record is from RefSeq and is a predicted model, not a curated record.